UUUAAGAGCAACCAUAAGUUUCCAUGCUUAAUUUUAAUCGUUCGUCUUAUUUGAUUUGUUUUUUUAUAAUUAGUAUUUUUAUUGUUAUGAGAUUAUAAAACAUGAAUAUUACUUUAUGCGUGACUUAUGUUUUUUUUUUGUUUUUUUUAUUGUUUUUAAAUAAGACAGAUGAUCAAAGUUGGACACAGAAAAUCAUGGUUGCAUUUAAA
Molecule: microRNA precursor, 209 nt
Organism: Oryza sativa Japonica Group (Japanese rice)
Lineage: Eukaryota; Viridiplantae; Streptophyta; Magnoliopsida; Poales; Poaceae
Rfam family: MIR812 microRNA precursor family
Source: Rfam